GUGGGGAAUUUUGGACAAUGGGCGCAAGCCUGAUCCAGCAAUGCCGCGUGUGUGAAGAAGGCCUUCGGGUUGUAAAGCACUUUUGGCAGGAAAGAAAUAGUGCGUGCUAAUACCAUGCGCGAAUGACGGUACCUGCAGAAUAAGCACCGGCUAACUACGUGCCAGCAGCCGCGGUAAGACGUAGGGUGCAAGCGUUAAUCGGAAUUACUGGGCGUAAAGCGUGCGCAGGCGGUUUUGUAAGACAGGUGUGAAAUCCCCGGGCUCAACCUGGGAACUGCACUUGUGACUGCAAGGCUAGAGUGUGUCAGAGGGAGGUGGAAUUCCGCGUGUAGCAGUGAAAUGCGUAGAGAUGCGGAGGAACACCGAUGGCGAAGGCAGCCUCCUGGGAUAACACUGACGCUCAGGCACGAAAGCGUGGGGAGCAAACAGGAUUAGAUACCCUAGUAGUCC
This 450-nucleotide ribosomal RNA is filed under the name uncultured bacterium. RNAcentral describes it as "bacterial SSU rRNA". It matches the Rfam family "Bacterial small subunit ribosomal RNA", at positions 354 to 796 of the family's 1533-position model. The record is from RNAcentral.